RNAcentral lists this ribosomal RNA (555 nucleotides) under uncultured bacterium. RNAcentral's name for it is "partial 16S ribosomal RNA". It matches the Rfam family "Bacterial small subunit ribosomal RNA", at positions 355 to 900 of the family's 1533-position model. The record is from RNAcentral.
UAGGGAAUCUUCGGCAAUGGGGGCAACCCUGACCGAGCAACGCCGCGUGAGUGAAGAAGGUUUUCGGAUCGUAAAGCUCUGUUGUAAGUCAAGAACGGGUGUGAGAGUGGAAAGUUCACACUGUGACGGUAGCUUACCAGAAAGGGACGGCUAACUACGUGCCAGCAGCCGCGGUAAUACGUAGGUCCCCGAGCGUUGUCCGGAUUUAUUGGGCGUAAAGCGAGCGCAGGCGGUUUGAUAAGUCUGAAGUUAAAGGCUGUGGCUCAACCAUAGUUCGCUUUGGAAACUGUCAAACUUGAGUGCAGAAGGGGAGAGUGGAAUUCCAUGUGUAGCGGUGAAAUGCGUAGAUAUAUGGAGGAACACCGGUGGCGAAAGCGGCUCUCUGGUCUGUAACUGACGCUGAGGCUCGAAAGCGUGGGGAGCGAACAGGAUUAGAUACCCUGGUAGUCCACGCCGUAAACGAUGAGUGCUAGGUGUUGGAUCCUUUCCGGGAUUCAGUGCCGCAGCUAACGCAUUAAGCACUCCGCCUGGGGAGUACGACCGCAAGGUUGAAAC